This 429-nucleotide ribosomal RNA is filed under the name Chloroflexota bacterium. Its description in RNAcentral is "Chloroflexi bacterium partial 16S ribosomal RNA". It matches the Rfam family "Bacterial small subunit ribosomal RNA", at positions 355 to 776 of the family's 1533-position model. The record is from RNAcentral. Lineage: Bacteria; Bacillati; Chloroflexota.
UGGGGAAUAUUGCACAAUGGGCGCAAGCCUGAUGCAGCCAUGCCGCGUGUGUGAAGAAGGCCUUCGGGUUGUAAAGCACUUUCAGCGGGGAGGAAGGCGUUAAGGUUAAUAACCUUGGCGAUUGACGUUACCCGCAGAAGAAGCACCGGCUAACUCCGUGCCAGCAGCCGCGGUAAUACGGAGGGUGCAAGCGUUAAUCGGAAUUACUGGGCGUAAAGCGCACGCAGGCGGUCUGUCAAGUCGGAUGUGAAAUCCCCGGGCUCAACCUGGGAAAUGCAUUCGAAACUGGCAGGCUAGAGGCUUGUAGAGGGGGGUAGAAGUCCAGGUGUAGCGGUGAAAUGCGUAGAGAUCUGGAGGAAUACCGGUGGCGAAGGCGGCCCCCUGGACAAAGACUGACGCUCAGGUGCGAAAGCGUGGGGAGCAAACAGG